UACGGGGGAUGCAAGCGUUAUCCGGAUUUAUUGGGUUUAAAGGGUGCGUAGGCGGGAAAAUAAGUCAGUGGUGAAAUCCUACAGCUUAACUGUAGAAUUGCCGUUGAUACUGUUUUUCUUGAGUAUGGUCAAGGAAGGCGGAAUGUGUAAUGUAGCGGUGAAAUGCUUAGAUAUUACACAGAACACCAAUUGCGAAGGCAGCUUUCUGGCCCAUUACUGACGCUGAGGCACGAAAGCGUGGGGAUCGAACAGGAUUAGAUACCCUGGUAGUCCCU
Molecule: ribosomal RNA, 275 nt
Filed under: uncultured prokaryote
Description: partial 16S ribosomal RNA
Rfam family: Bacterial small subunit ribosomal RNA
Source: RNAcentral